GAUUCUAUUUUAUAUAGUUUAAAUAAAACUUUACAUUUUCACUGUAAAAUUAAAUAUCUAUUAUUUUAUAA
RNAcentral lists this transfer RNA (71 nucleotides) under Cautires sp. UPOL 000037. RNAcentral describes it as "tRNA-Glu". Lineage: Eukaryota; Metazoa; Arthropoda; Insecta; Coleoptera; Lycidae. The record is from RNAcentral. RNAcentral also lists the same sequence under 3 other names.